ACAUUUACUCCACAACAUCCACUAGAGGGAGUCCCACGCUGUUGAAAUGUUUUAGUAUGUGAUCACACAGUCUAGAUUCUCCUCUCUCAUGAGACAGUUGUUAUGAAGAGCUUCAGAAAUGUAACCAACAGAUGAGUCUCCUCCUCCUGACUGAGCAGAUGUUUUAUAACAGGACUGUUUGAUUACUGCUGUGAACAUCAGACCAAACAAAACUCACUAAACUGAUUCCUCCUGAUCUCUCAGUUACAGCUUCUCGACUCUGCAAACAUGGACAAACUCACUGCUAUAUUUUUGUUAUCAGCUGUCACAGGUGUCAGCUGUGAAGAACUCACUCCAGUUCAGAAUGAAGAGCACAGUUUAGAAGACAGCACCGUCACUCUGUCAUACAGUUACUCCAAACUGUCAACUGGUGAUUCUGUCUUCUGGUAUCGACAACAUCCAGGAAAACAACCAGAGUUCAUCAUCUCUCACUCAUCAACAGGACGACUUAUAUCAGAUCCAGUCUCUGGACUGUCUGUUACAGUGAGAGAGGAUAAAAAACAUCUGGAUCUACAGAUCUCCUCUGCUGCACUGACUGACUCUGCUGUGUACUACUGUGCUCUGAAGCCCACAGUGACAGGAAACACCACAACUCUGUACAAAAACCUCUGGAGAGAAGACAACACAAUACUCCACAACAUCCACUAGAGGGAGUCACACACUGAUAAACUUUAGUUGUAUGUGUUGAUACAGU
Non-coding RNA from Labrus mixtus (cuckoo wrasse), 733 nucleotides. Lineage: Eukaryota; Metazoa; Chordata; Actinopteri; Labriformes; Labridae. The record is from the annotation of a RefSeq genome assembly.